CGGCGCGGCGCUCGCGGGGUUGCCGCCUCCCGAGCCGGGUCCGCCCGCCCCCUGGGCCCGCGGGACCCCGCGCGGCCUCGCCCUGAGCUGCCGGGCGCUGGGAACAAAGAGCGCGGCGAGCCGCGGGGCCCGUACGGCGAUGGCUCUUUUCUUGCCUUAAACCCUGUGAAAUCUGCCGGAUCUGAGCCCCAGGAAGGUUUGAUGGCAGCAGGUUAAAUGAGGUGACCAUGCCGGCUUCAGUGACCACGUCGGGCGCUCCAGUUCAAGCGCGGACUCCGGGAAGCGCGCCGGGUGCUUCAGGGCCUGCUGGCAUUACCCCUGCUCGCAUUUCGUGGAAUACAGUUCUUUGUUUUGCACCAGGUGGAAACCUUUCCAGAAAGGAACCAGGGGUGCUGCCUUCCACCUGCCAUCUGUCUUAAGAAUAAAAUUGCCUGCAAGUCGGUUUUCACAGGCUGACUGAGCACCACCAGUGCGGGAACCCCACGCCAUCCUCACAAGUGGUCUACAUGGGCUGCAAGUCACACCCCAGUCCUUAAAAUACAGACUUACAGGAGCUGCAGUGUGUAUCCCCAAGGCAGAAGAGUAUGAGGAAUUGUUAUAAACCACAUUGCAGAACAAAUUUCUAAAAGGGGAAAAAAAAAAUCCAGCUUCAAUCCCAAAGUGAGUGUUUCCUUAAGCUGUAUAAAGUGAUAGCCACUGAGGACUGACCAGAAAUGGAUGCAAUGCUGAGAGCUAGUGCAAAAGUGUCUCCGAGGGACACCACGGCCUGGCUGCUCAUCUGCUUUUCUCAGAAGAAAUGCUCGUCCAAGCUGCUGCCCCAGGGCUGGCCCCUUCUGGCCUCCUCCCCAAGGGCUGCUGGGCCUCCCACGCCAGCGUUUAGUGCCCAGUGYGGACACCCUGCAGGGUGA
This 908-nucleotide long non-coding RNA is filed under the name Urocitellus parryii (Arctic ground squirrel). RNAcentral's name for it is "lncRNA (ENSUPAG00010021614.1)". Lineage: Eukaryota; Metazoa; Chordata; Mammalia; Rodentia; Sciuridae. The record is from RNAcentral.